RNAcentral lists this ribosomal RNA (2478 nucleotides) under Triticum aestivum (bread wheat). RNAcentral's name for it is "partial small subunit ribosomal RNA". Lineage: Eukaryota; Viridiplantae; Streptophyta; Magnoliopsida; Poales; Poaceae. The record is from RNAcentral.
AUGGCGAGCGCCGCGCCGCCGCCGCCGGACGCGGAGCCGCCCGAGUGCCCGGUGUGCCUCUCGCCCUUCGACGCCGCCUCCGUCGUGCCGCGCGUCCUCCCGUGCGGCCACUCCCUCUGCGGCUCCUGCAUCUCCUCCCUCCCGCCGGCCUCCGCGUCGGCCGCGGCCUCGUCCCUCCGCUGCCCGCUCUGCUCCCAGUGCGUCCCCUUCUCCCGGGCCCUCGGCCCCUCCUCCCUCCCCAAAAACCUCGCCCUCCUCUCCCUCCUCCCCUCCCUCCCCAACCCUUCCCCGCCCCGCACCGCCGGCGCCGCAUCCGCCUCCGCGGCGCGACCCCUCCCUCUCCCGCUCCAUGCCGCCCACUCCCGCCUCCUCGCCCGCUUCCGACACGCCAUCCUCCCCGAGUCCGCCUCCCCGCUACACUCCUCGCCGCCCGGCCACCCUCCCGCCGGCCUCGCGCUCGGGUCGAUCGCCUGCGACCUCGGAGCCCCCUGGUUCUGCUCGCGGGGACACCCCGUAAGCCUCCUCCCGAUCGAUGCUCCCGUCAGCGGGGCGCCGUUGCAGGAGCCCGCGUUCUACCGGCCCAGCCACGCCGCGCGGGUCAUCGCCGCGAUCGACGCGCUGAGCAGCGCCGCGAGGGAGGAGAUGCUCGAUUUGGUGGCCGCCUCCACGCGAUUGGCGCGGCGGGUGUGCGGGGUUUACGGCGCCUGGAUGGGCCCCGAGGCGGCAACGCUGUGGCUGGUCUCUGAACGGCACACGCCGGGAGUCCCCCCCUUGUUGAAUGAGAGGAGCGACGAACUGGAAACUGUGGCUCGGAUUGGAGCUGUUGGAAUGGAGGUGUGUGAAGCGCUCAUGGGAUUGCACGGCGAGGGGAUGGUGCUGGGUUGCCUCCGGCUGGACUGCUUCCGCCUUGAUCAUUUUGGGCGCUGCCUGCUCGACUUGAAUGAGGUUUUGGCCUUGUGCCGUGGAGUCCGGGCAGGGGUUUGCUUGUCCAUGGACGGGGCUUUGGUUGCUCCCGAGAUGACGGCAAUUCUGAGGGACGCCACAUGGAUGAGGAGUCAUGAUUUCGAUGGCUUGAUAGGGCGUAAUUCAGAUGUUUGGUUGCUGGGUUGUAUAUUGGUGGCGCUUGUUACAGGAGACGAGCGGCUUGCGGCGGGGUGGAAUACUGAUGGAUCAUAUGAUGAUUGGCAGAAGGAAGUGCUUGCGAGGCUUGACGCUGCAUUGGUUGGUACGCAGUUAGAACCAUUGGUUGCAACUACAGCGUUAUGCUUAAGCUAUGAACCAGAAAGCCGCCCAGAGAUUGCUGAUGUUUGGAAAUGUAUCAGAGGCUCACAGAUGAAACCUGGUGCUGAUGCUUUGGCUCCUGCUGAUGAUAUUGUAGCUCAGAAAAGUUUUAGGUGCUUGCUCCUCGGGGAGUUGUCCUCAAUGUGCUCCGCCCAAGCUGCUGAGUCAGAUGAUAUAGUGCAGCCCUCUCAAGAUUCUGAUGACAAAAAUUCAACUCCAGAUGAUGAAAGCAAUUGUGGUUUCUCGAACGGUGAGUCUGUUUGCACAGCAGGAACAGAUGAGCCACAGCGUAAUGGAGUGUUUAAAUCUUCAACUCUGCUUGCUCACCGUGACUGCGUCACAGGAUUAGCCAUUGGAGGGGGAUUUUUGUUUAGUUCUUCCUAUGACAAAACAAUCAAUGUAUGGUCACUGCAGGACUUCUCUCAUGUGCAGACUUUAAAGGGUCAUGAGCACAAAAUCACAGCAAUUGUUGUUGUUGACAAUGAUAACCAGUCUCUUUGUGUAAGUGGAGACAGUGGCAGUGGAAUUUUUGUCUGGCGUGUUGGUACCUCUCUCAAGCAAGAACCGUUGAAUAAAUGGUAUGAAACUAAUGAUUGGAUCUACCGGGGUGUUCACUGCUUGGCUGUGUCUGGAACCGGUUAUCUUUAUACUGGCAGUAGAGACAAAUCUAUUAAAGCUUGGUCUCUGGAGGAUUAUUCACUUGGAUGCACUAUGAUAGGCCACAAAUCAACCGUGUCUUGCCUUGCAGUUGCUAGCGGUAUUCUUUACAGUGGAAGUUGGGAUGGUAGUAUCCGAUCAUGGUGGCUUACUGAUCACAGCCCGUUGUCUGUACUUGAAGAUGAUGCACCGGGAAGCAUAGCCCCUGUGUUGUCAAUUUCAACAGAAGCUAAUUUUGUUGUUUCAUCAUAUGAAAAUGGCUGUUUGAAGAUUUGGAAGGAUGAUGUCCUCGUUAAGUCAGAGAAACUUCAAAAUGCUUCUAUUUACGCUGUUAAAUUGAACGGUAAAUGGCUAUAUACCGGUGGAAUGAAUAAAGCCAUAAAUAUUCAGGAGUUACUAGAAGACAAGUCAGAGUUGGAAAUCAGAGAUGUCGCUUCCAUCUCUUGUGAUUCAAUUGUAACUUCAAUAUUGUACUGGGAUGAAAAGCUGAUAGUUGGACUCUCUAACAGGGAAAUUAAGGUUUACGACAAGGGUUCUUAG